This is a long non-coding RNA of Megalobrama amblycephala (Wuchang bream), 1993 nucleotides long. RefSeq lists it as uncharacterized. The record is from RefSeq and is a predicted model, not a curated record. The transcript is spliced from 3 exons. NCBI's taxonomy places the organism in Eukaryota, Metazoa, Chordata, Actinopteri, Cypriniformes, Xenocyprididae.
GAUGCAGAUUGACCACCUAAAUCAAGACUAGGCCUACAUGGUAUAUCAGCUGGUAGCGAAUGGUGAUGAUGGUAAACGAACUGGAUGAAGUGCAUACCUCUUGAUGAAUGGUGAGUAUACAGGUAAUCUGUAAUCCACAGGUUUCAGGCAUGAAGAUGAAGGAGAUCAUUGGAGAGACAAAAGAAACACAGAAUCAACACAGGAGAUAAGCAAGUUGAAUCACCAAGAUAAGUAGAGCAGACAAGGAGCCUGUUUCCACAUUCAAGGCCAGACGAUGAGUGACUAAGAGGUGUGUGCUUUAGUACUGGUGCUGAGUGCUGCAGUGAUGAGGAACACGUGACUGUGAUUAGAACUCAGGAGAGAGUGAGCGCUGUGUGAGUGUGACUGGAGAGACAGAAAGCAGUUUCAAAUAGAAAUAUCUUAUUGUCAAGAGCCAGUCCAAAAUACCAUCAUUCAAUAGAUCUGGAAACAAUUUAUAUUAAUUUAUAUCAAGUUGCUUGCUUUCUGUCUAUGACAGAAGAGCUCAAUGCAAACCAUGUUGUAUCAACAUAUACUGUAUCACAUAUCAUCAGUGGUUGAGGUCACUAUUUAAAUCUGGUUCUACCAAUACUGAAUUCUGACCACAUAAUAAAAAGUUAAGCUAUUCAAAAUGUGUUGUGGCCAUUUCCCAGUCUCCAUACUUGUGCACACAGUGAGGUGAUUAAGGUCAGUAUUCUCUUUCAGUUCAACUAUUGUCAUAGUGGAUCAAAAUAAACUUGUUUAGUAAGAUAAAGUUAGUAUGUUUAGCUCAUAGACCAGGGGUCGGCAAGUAAGUUUGGCAUUGGGCCAAAAAAGAAAAAUCGCCACUAGAUGGCGGGCCAGAACAUAGUCAAAGGAAAUGUAAGAAAUUAAUUGAAAAAAUGCAACUAGAAUUGCCUGUGACAGACUGUUACAGUGUCUUUUGUAACUGGUAGUGAGCUGUUACUCUGUAUUAAAUCCUGUAGAAGGACAGUCAUUAACAAAAAGCCACAUUUGUGUGGUGGUGUCCGGGUUAUACACUGGAUAAAUUAAUAAAGCAGAGUAGUGACACGUAACCUGGCAAGUAUCUUCAUUCACCAAUUUGCAACACAGACUGCCUUGCUAAAACACACAUAUGUUAGAGUUGCGGAAUGGAUAAAAAUAACUUGAAAAAGCCCAUUAAUGGCAUGUUUAUAUAAAUAAUCAUGCUCUUAAUGAACUAUGUUUUAUUUCCUCUUUCAAUAUUGUGAAUAAUAAAUGUGUAUCAUUUUAAUUUGCUUGUUACACAAUUGGAGCCUAACUUAUUGUAAUAAUUAUUUGACGUAGCCUACUUUAGCACUCAGAAUUAUUCCUUGGCAUCCUCACGUAUAAACUGAAGUUGAGGUACUGGAGGUACGCUAUUACGUCGUGUGCAGAAUGAUGUCAACAUUUAAGCUUGCUGGUGAGAGAAAAUGGCACUAUCAAAGAGUCUAAAGAGGAAAGUUGUCAGCGAAAAUAGACAACACAAUGACAAUAUUAGAUGGCACCACGAGACAAAGAUCUAUUUCAGAACCAGCUGCUAUCAAAAUAACCUGGCUGCGGACACAGGCUAGAUAUUAUUGCUGGCGGGCCAGUUUUGGCCCAAGGGCCGCCUAUUGCCGACCACUGUCAUAGACUGAGAAAAGAUAGACUUAAGAAAAGAUGGACGACGCAUCUUCAUUCUCUUCUAUUGCAGAAAAGUGAAGCCUCCAAUGUCCCAAUAUGGCGCUGACAUCUUAAGACCUGAGUCUGCACAGUAGUGAACCCAGAGCCCGAGUCUGCACACUAGUGAGCGUGAAGUGGAACCGCGGUAUCAAGGCCCCAGCCACACUCCCGCAGAAUCGCUCAUUAUCUGCCGUCUGUCUGUUUGAUGUGGUUAGCCGCAGGAGCUGCAUUUGAAGUCUGUGUGGCCCGUCUAUCACGAACAUGCUAAUCCAGCGGAAAACCAAGCUCCAGACACCUGUUCCACACAACAUCU